GAGCCAUGACCAAUCCUUUACCGUCCUCGAGCCCCACGCCGCUUUUCCCCCUCCGCGCUGUCCGGCCUCCCCUGCUCCUCAAUCCUGCUCCGAGCUCCUCCUUCCCUGCACCCGUCCUCACGACCGCCGACCUCGCUGACCUCUCCUCGCGCCUAGCCAUCUCUCUCCAUUCUCCUUCCCUCCUCCUGCCGUUGUCUCUCUUUGCUGCUUAUCCCUCUUUGUGUCUCUGUUCCCGCAAGAGCCGCCAUGGACGGCCGCAGCAAGCAGCCGACGACACUCGCGACGCAACCGGAGUUGCUCCCCGUCGGGCCUCCGACCAGACCGAGCAGCAAGGUCGGCCCGUCGCGCCCCCUUCCUUCCUGGUUUUCCUUCCUUAUCCCCUACCUCACCUCUGCCUCCCUUCUCUCUGCCUUGUACAAGAGAACGCCAUGGACGCCGAGCUCGCCAAACCCCGCCGCCAGGGACCCCCUCCGGCGCUCCCUCGACCCGCGCCGCCCCGGAUCCGGUUCUCCCCUCCGCCGCCUCACGGCCUCUUGCACCGCCGCUUUCUCUCCUGGGCCUCUUCCCCGACGCUCGAGGUGCAGCAGGGUGGGCGCUGCCACGUUCUCGAUCCAGUCGGAUCUGGCGCAAGUCGCCGGCAUCCGGCGCCGCGCGCCGUGAUUCCAGAUCGGGCGUAGGUCGCCACCAGGAGAGCAGGAGCGGCGGCUGCAGCAGAGGAGGCCCACCCUGGUCAAGCCCGCAUCCUGGUGGCCGUGUGCAGAAGAGGAGAGGUCGAGGAUGGGCGCCAGUUCGUGGAGGAGACGCUCGACACAGGAACAGUCCACCGGUCCAUAUCUUCGUGUCUAUUGUCUAUUGAUCUGCCAAUAUUGUGUUAAUCAAGGAGGAAAGAAAGGAUGCAGUCUAAGCCCUCACACUUUCCGGAAGUGCUCUUUACCCUUGGCGCCUUAGAAUGAAAAUAUGUUGCUUAACUGAAAAUCUUUGCGCCGCCACCUCUCCUCCUCCUCGUCCUCCUCUCUUUCUCCCAUGCCACCACCGUUGCAAGGAGUAGGGGAGAUAGGCGCCGAGGACAAGAAGCAAUGGGUUGGUUGAGGCUCGUUCGAGGAGCGCCAGUAGGCGACCGAUGUGUCGCUCUCCCGUCGUUCUUUCUUCGUCAGGAAAGGCGCAGCCUGCUACUCAAGCCCCUCUGCUUCGCUCCUUGCAGAGCAGGAGAGGCACGGGCGCCACCACACUCAAGAGACAGACGAGGACAUGAAGCUUUCGUGGAGAUGACGAGGUGGCCGCCGCUGCACCCCCACGCCGUGGACGCGAAGAUUCCCAUCCUCUCUGCCCUCGAUAACCACUUCGGCGGCGCCGUGAACAACAGCAAUGGCCUCUUCACGGCAGGCGCAGACCGCAGGGUCGUCUUCCUCUCCGGCCUCUUCCACACAAUCAGAUUCAGGCCUUCUCCCUCUGCAUCUCUGUAAAAACAUGCUGGCAGCAGAACAAUUUAUCAUGCUUAGCUUGCAAGGUGGUGAUUGCAACCAUGUGAAUGACUCCUUAUGACUCUCAGCAGCAAGACGAUCUGCGGUGACCUAGAGGUUGAUAAAUUUAGUUAAGGAACAUAUAGACAUUUGAUUACUUCCUCUGUUAUCAAAGGGGACAGGGAUGCGUAGUGUAAGGGCGUUCAAAAUUUUCUUCUUCUAGGAAUGAUUGAGUUCACUCUCCUUCCUGAGCCGUUGGCUGUUGGCCAUGUGAAAGCAUGGCAGCUACCGGGGGACUGAGAAUCUGUAGCAUGCCACCACUAUGCUUACCACCAACAAAGCCAAGGUCUCAUCUUUGAAAGAUUAAGGUUACUUUGCAGGGAGAUGAGACCCAUACCGAGAUAUGACAGGUUGAUUAUAUAACUGGAUGCAUAUGCAUAAAUCAGAGGAUAAGCAGCGGAAGGACAAGUUGUAUUUGUCGAGAUGUUCUCUUCUUCUUUAUUUUACAUGUUAAAGCAUGGACCUUCUUGCUCAGGUUCUCUGGUCUUGUGUUCAACUCUGCUUAUAAAGCCUUGUGAAGGAGAAAUAUCAUCUAUCAUGUAUUUCUGUGUUGACAGCCAGUUGCUUAAUUGAUCGACUAUAGUAUAAAGAAAUGUAUUAGAAGAGCAAAAAGUCAGCCGCAAUGGAAAAAGUCAGGAUCCCAACAAAAGACCAAGUCAGGAUCCCAACAAAGGACCUUCUGGACGCUAUGAUGUAGCAGCUUGGCCUUCCAAACGCAGUGACCCAUCACAGAAGGCAAGGCCGGUUGGUCUUGACGCAACCAUUCACUAUCCAUCAAAGCACCAACUGGACAACCGACUUCCAAGGAAAUCAAUAUACAUCUACGUGUACAGUAAACUCAAAGAGGCUGAAGAUCGACCGGCAAAUGACGCUCUUAAGUAGUCUAAGUGAAGUGAAGGAACUUUACCGCAUAAUAGAUACAUACUUCACAGCAAGAUACCCACCAAAAGCCAACAAUCUGAAACAUAUUUUGUCACACAUAAGAUAUGUUGCUGAUCGUCUUAAUGAUAUAGGUUUACAAUCAGAAGCCGUUAUACAGAAAACAAACAGGUAUUAUUAGUGCCUCGACGAUGAUAUCGAAGGAAUUUCUACUCUGAGCAAUGUAGGCCAUGAAGAACAGUAGCUAUGAAGACUUCCCUCAAAGAAAUCGUUCUAAACAUCCAGCGAUACAUCUGACUAAUGUAGUUCUGCCUAUCUAUAUGCCUUGCUCAUAACAUUGUAAAUGAUCAUUGUAAGCUUCUUAGAAAACAUGUAUCAUCAGCAACCAUCUAUCUAUCAUCAAUAUGUACUUAUUUCCAUA
Triticum aestivum (bread wheat) is the source of this 2820-nucleotide long non-coding RNA. RefSeq lists it as uncharacterized. NCBI's taxonomy places the organism in Eukaryota, Viridiplantae, Streptophyta, Magnoliopsida, Poales, Poaceae. The transcript is spliced from 11 exons. The record is from RefSeq and is a predicted model, not a curated record.